UACGGAGGGUGCGAGCGUUAAUCGGAAUUACUGGGCGUAAAGCGCAUGCAGGUGGAUUAGUAAGUUGAGUGUGAAAGCCCCGGGCUUAACCUGGGAACUGCAUUCAAAACUACUAGUCUAGAGUACAGGAGAGGGAAGUGGAAUUUCCGGUGUAGCGGUGAAAUGCGUAGAUAUCGGAAGGAACACCAGUGGCGAAGGCGACUUCCUGGACUGAUACUGACACUCAGAUGCGAAAGCGUGGGGAGCAAACAGG
RNAcentral lists this ribosomal RNA (253 nucleotides) under uncultured bacterium. RNAcentral describes it as "partial 16S ribosomal RNA". It matches the Rfam family "Bacterial small subunit ribosomal RNA", at positions 524 to 776 of the family's 1533-position model. The record is from RNAcentral.